RNAcentral lists this ribosomal RNA (498 nucleotides) under uncultured bacterium. RNAcentral's name for it is "partial 16S ribosomal RNA". It matches the Rfam family "Bacterial small subunit ribosomal RNA", at positions 28 to 507 of the family's 1533-position model. The record is from RNAcentral.
GACGAACGCUGGCGGCGUGCCUAAUACAUGCAAGUCGAACGAGAGCGUCCGGUGCUUGCACUGGUCAAUCUAGUGGCGAACGGGUGAGUAACACGUGGGUAACCUGCCCAUCAGAGGGGGAUAACAUCCGGAAACGGAUGCUAAAACCGCAUAGGUCUUCGAACCGCAUGGUUUGAAGAGGAAAAGAGGCGCAAGCUUCUGCUGAUGGAUGGACCCGCGGUGCAUUAGCUAGUUGGUGAGGUAACGACUCACCAAGGCCGUGAUGCAUAGCCGACCUGAGAGGGUGAUCGGCCACAUUGGGACUGAGACACGGCCCAAACUCCUACGGGAGGCAGCAGUAGGGAAUCUUCCGCAAUGGACGCAAGUCUGACGGAGCAACGCCGCGUGAGUGAAGAAGGUUUUCGGAUCGUAAAACUCUGUUGUUAGAGAAGAACAAGUGCUAGAGUAACUGUUAGCGCCUUGACGGUAUCUAACCAGAAAGCCACGGCUAACUACGUG